This 63-nucleotide microRNA precursor is filed under the name Columba livia (rock pigeon). RNAcentral describes it as "Cli-Mir-221-P1a_pre stem-loop". It matches the Rfam family "mir-221 microRNA precursor family", at positions 11 to 73 of the family's 84-position model. Lineage: Eukaryota; Metazoa; Chordata; Aves; Columbiformes; Columbidae. The record is from RNAcentral.
CGCUCAGUAGUCAGUGUAGAUCCUGUCUUUACAAUCAGCAGCUACAUCUGGCUACUGGGUCUC